UGGGGAAUAUUGCGCAAUGGGCGAAAGCCUGACGCAGCGACGCCGCGUGAGGGAUGAAGGUUUUCGGAUCGUAAACCUCUGUCAGAAGGGAAGAAACCGCACUGUGCUAAUCAGCAGUGCCUUGACGGUACCUUCAAAGGAAGCACCGGCUAACUCCGUGCCAGCAGCCGCGGUAAUACGGAGGGUGCAAGCGUUAAUCGGAAUUACUGGGCGUAAAGCGCACGUAGGCUGCUUUGUAAGUCAGGGGUGAAAUCCCACGGCUCAACCGUGGAACUGCCUUUGAUACUGCAUAGCUUGAAUCCGGGAGAGGGUGGCGGAAUUCCAGGUGUAGGAGUGAAAUCCGUAGAUAUCUGGAGGAACAUCAGUGGCGAAGGCGGCCACCUGGACCGGUAUUGACGCUGAGGUGCGAAAGCGUGGGGAGCAAACAGG
Molecule: ribosomal RNA, 429 nt
Filed under: Fusobacteriota bacterium
Lineage: Bacteria; Fusobacteriati; Fusobacteriota
Description: Fusobacteria bacterium partial 16S ribosomal RNA
Rfam family: Bacterial small subunit ribosomal RNA
Source: RNAcentral